Molecule: ribosomal RNA, 619 nt
Filed under: uncultured bacterium
Lineage: Bacteria
Description: bacterial SSU rRNA
Rfam family: Bacterial small subunit ribosomal RNA
Source: RNAcentral
CGCGAACGCACCUUCGGGUGUUAUUAGAGUGGCGGACGGGUGAGUAACACGUGGGAACAUGCCUUUCGGUACGGAACAACGCUUGGAAACGAGUGCUAAUACCGUAUACGCCCUUCGGGGGAAAGAUUUAUCGCCGAAAGAUUGGCCCGCGCUAGAUUAGCUAGUUGGUAAGGUAAUGGCUUACCAAGGCGACGAUCUAUAGCUGGUUUGAGAGGAUGAUCAGCCACACUGGGACUGAGACACGGCCCAGACUCCUACGGGAGGCAGCAGUGGGGAAUAUUGGACAAUGGGGGCAACCCUGAUCCAGCGAUGCCGCGUGAGUGAUGAAGGCCUUAGGGUUGUAAAACUCUUUCAGAUGGGAUGAUAAUGACAGUACCAUCAGAAGAAGCUCCGGCUAACUCCGUGCCAGCAGCCGCGGUAAUACGGAGGGAGCUAGCGUUGUUCGGAAUUACUGGGCGUAAAGCGCGCGUAGGCGGCUUUGCAAGUAGGGGGUGAAAUCCCGGGGCUUAACCCCGGAACUGCCCUCUAAACUGCAGAGCUAGAAUCCUGGAGAGGUGAGUGGAAUUCCUAGUGUAGAGGUGAAAUUCGUAGAUAUUAGGAAGAACACCAGUGGCGAAGG